GACAGAGGUCCCAAGCGUUAGGCGGAAUCACUGGGCUUAAAGCGUGUGUAGGCGGAUGCCUAAGUACCUUGUGAAAUCCCACGGCUCACCCGUGGAACUGCUUGGUAUACUGGGUGUCUUGAGCCACUUAGGGGCUACCGGAACAAAUGGUGGAGAGGUGAAAUGCGUAGAUAUCAUUUGGAACGCCAAUGGUGAAAACAGGUAGCUGGGAGUGUGCUGGCGCUGAGACACGAAAGCCAGGGGAGCAAACGGG
RNAcentral lists this ribosomal RNA (253 nucleotides) under uncultured bacterium. RNAcentral describes it as "partial 16S ribosomal RNA". It matches the Rfam family "Bacterial small subunit ribosomal RNA", at positions 524 to 776 of the family's 1533-position model. The record is from RNAcentral.